Molecule: long non-coding RNA, 970 nt
Filed under: Nicotiana benthamiana
Lineage: Eukaryota; Viridiplantae; Streptophyta; Magnoliopsida; Solanales; Solanaceae
Description: long non-coding RNA (NBEN_LNC032410)
Source: RNAcentral
AAAAGGGAAGAGAGACAGAAACACCAAGAUCAAGAAACAAACGAGACAACCAAGACAGUUCAGCAACAACCUUACUUAGGACCCUGUAUUCAGCCUCAGCAGAAGACAGAGAGACCACUGGUUGUUUCUUAGAUUUCCAACUAAUCAAAGAACCACCCAGAAUAAUACAGAACCCAGUAACAGACCUCCUUGUAUCGAGGCAAGCAGCCCAGUCACUAUCAGAAUAACCAAUAACAUUGAAGUCAUUGCAAUCAGAAUAAAAGAGACCCAGAGAAGAAGACCCCUUUAGAUAUCUCAAGACAUGAAGAGCAGCAGUCAUAUGGGGGAGUCUGGGGCAUUUGAGGAAUUGACUCAGAUGUAGCACAGCAAAACAGAUGUCAGGCCUAGUAUGGGUCAGAAAUAAGAGCUUACCAACAAGACUCCUAUACUGAUCAGGAGAAGGGAAAAGGUCACCAGAAUCAGCAUGUAAUUUUGCAUUAAUGUCCAAAGGAAAGACAACGCAGCAAAUCACAAAUAUAUUUGUGCUGAUUAAGGAUCAUCCCACCAGGAACAGAUCACAUCUGAAUGCCUAAAAAAUAAUGUAAGGACCCUAGGUCCUUAAUUUUAAACUGAUCAUCCAGAAACAGUUUCAGAGCAGCAAUUUCAUCACAGUCCUCCCCGGUAAUAAUAAUAUCAUCCACAUAAACAGCAACAAUCACAAGGGACCCUGGUGUACCUUUGAUGAAUAGGGAAUAAUCAUUCAAAGAAUGCCUAUAGCCUCGUGCUGAUUAAGGAUCAUCCCACCAGGAACAGAUGACAUCUGAAUGCCUAAAAAAUAAUGUAAGGACCCUAGGUCCUUAAUUUUAAACUGAUCAUCCAGAAACAGUUUCAGAGCAGCAAUUUCAUCACAGUCCUCCCCAGUAAUAAUUAUAUCAUCCACAUAAACAGCAACAAUCACAAGGGACCCUGGUGUACCUUUAAUGAAUAGGGA